UACGGAGGAUGCGAGCGUUAUCCGGAUUUAUUGGGUUUAAAGGGUGCGUAGGCGGCUUUUUAAGUCAGCGGUGAAAUUUUGCAGCUUAACUGUAACAGUGCCGUUGAUACUGGGGAGCUAGGAUUUGGUUGCUGUGGGUGGAAUGUGUGGUGUAGCGGUGAAAUGCUUAGAGAUCACACAGAAUAUCGAUUGCGAAGGCAGCUCACAAAGCCAAGAUUGACGCUUGAGGCACGAAAGUGUGGGGAUCAAACAGGA
Molecule: ribosomal RNA, 255 nt
Filed under: uncultured prokaryote
Description: partial 16S ribosomal RNA
Rfam family: Bacterial small subunit ribosomal RNA
Source: RNAcentral